RNAcentral lists this ribosomal RNA (264 nucleotides) under Triticum aestivum (bread wheat). RNAcentral's name for it is "partial small subunit ribosomal RNA". Lineage: Eukaryota; Viridiplantae; Streptophyta; Magnoliopsida; Poales; Poaceae. The record is from RNAcentral.
AUGUCCACGGUGCUCGUGGUGCACGUCCGCUCGGCCGGCAACGCGCCGAUACUGAAGCAAGACAAGUUCAAGAUUUCAGGACGAGAUAAAUUCUUGAGGGUUAUUGAAUUUCUUCGUCGACAACUUCAUCAGGAUACACUGUUUGUCUAUGUCAACAGUUCGUUUUCUCCAAGCCCAGAUGAGCUGAUAAUUGACUUGUAUAAUAAUUUUGCAAUAGACGGGAAGCUUGUGGUAAACUAUGCUUUAUCGGCAGCGUGGGGUUAA